Molecule: ribosomal RNA, 2030 nt
Filed under: human gut metagenome
Description: bacterial LSU rRNA
Rfam family: Bacterial large subunit ribosomal RNA
Source: RNAcentral
AAUCGAACCCGGAGAUAGCUGGUUCUCCUCGAAAUAGCUUUAGGGCUAGCCUCAUGGAUCAUUGGUGGGGGUAGAGCACUGAAUGUGCGCGGGGGCCACAAAGCCUACCAAACGCUAUCAAACUUCGAAUACCAUACAAUGCAGACCAUGGGAGUCAGUCCGCGAGAGAUAAGUUCCGCGGGCAAAAGGGGAACACCCCAGAUCAACCGCUAAGGUCCCCAAGUUCACGUUAAGUGGAGAAGGAUGUGGAAUUGCACAGACAACCAGGAUGUUGGCUCAGAAGCAGCCACACAUUUAAAGAGUGCGUAAUAGCUCACUGGUCGAGUGAUUGUGCGCCGAAGAUGUCCGGGGCUAAACGUGACACCGAAGCGAUGGGUGCAUCUGAAAGGAUGCGCGGUAGAGGAGCAAUGUGCAGAGGCAGAAGCCGUAUCGAGAGGCACGGUGGACACUGCACAAGAGAGAAUGCCGGUAUGAGUAGCGAGAGGCAUGCGAGAAACAUGCCCGUCGAAAGCCCAAGGUUUCCUGGGGAAGGUUCAUCCGCCCAGGGUAAGUCGGGGCCUAAGCCGAGGACGGAAGUCGUAGGCGAUGGACAGCAGGUGUAGAUUCCUGCACUACCGAUGGAAUGAAGCAGUGACACAGAAGGAUAACUCGAGCAGGGUGAUGGUCAACCCUGUGCAAGCAUCAAGGUUGGGUUGUAGUGAAGUACGCAAUCCUAUAAGCUGAGGUGUGAUGCGGACCGAAAUUUCAGUAGGGAAGCGAGUGAGUUCACGCUGGCGAGAAAAGCUGCUAGUACAUCCAAAGGUACCCGUACCGGAAACCGACGCAGGUGGGCGAGGAGAGAAUCCUGAGACGAACGGGAGAACCCUUGUUAAGGAACUCGGCAAAAUGACCCCGUAACUUCGGGAUAAGGGGUGCCUGCGAGAGCAGGCCGCAGAGAAUAGUCACAAGCGACUGUUUAGCAAAAACACAGGUAUCUGCGAAAGCGAGAGCUGACGUAUAGGUGCUGACACCUGCCCGGUGCUGGAAGGUUAAGGGAACAUGUUAGAGCAAUCGAAGCAUCGAACCGAAGCCCCAGUAAACGGCGGCCGUAACUAUAACGGUCCUAAGGUAGCGAAAUUCCUUGUCGGGUAAGUUCCGACCCGCACGAAUGGUGUAACGACUUGUGAGCUGUCUCAACAGGGGGCCCGGUGAAAUUGAAGUAUGGGUGAAGAUGCCCAUUACCCGCGACUGGACGGAGAGACCCCGUAGAGCUUUACUGCAGCCUGAUAUUGAGUUUCGGUAACUGAUGCACAGGAUAGGUGGGAGUCUGAGAGACAUGGGUUUCGGCUCGUGUGGAGACGCUGUUGGGAUACCACUCUUCGGUUACUGAAAUUCUAACAUAGCUCUGUGAAACCAGAGGAUGGACAGUGUCAGGUGGACAGUUUGACUGGGGCGGUCGCCUCCGAAAGAGUAACGGAGGCGCCCAAAGGUACCCUCAGAAUGGAUGGAAACCAUUCGAAGAGCGCAAAGGCAGAAGGGUGCCUGACUGCGAGAGUGACAACUCGAGCAGAGACGAAAGUCGGGCUUAGUGAUCCGGCGGUAUUGAGUGGAAAAGCCGUCGCUUAACGGAUAAAAGCUACCUCGGGGAUAACAGGCUGAUCUCCCCCAAGAGUCCACAUCGACGGGGAGGUUUGGCACCUCGAUGUCGGCUCGUCGCAUCCUGGGGCUGAAGCAGGUCCCAAGGGUUUGGCUGUUCGCCAAUUAAAGCGGCACGCGAGCUGGGUUCAGAACGUCGUGAGACAGUUCGGUCCCUAUCCAUCGUGGGCGUAGGAGUCAUGAGAGGAGCUGUUCCUAGUACGAGAGGACCGGAAUGGACGCACCACUGGUGCAACUGUUGUCGUGCCAACGGCAUAGCAGGGAAGCGAAGUGCGGAUGGGAUAAACGCUGAAGGCAUCUAAGCGUGAAGCCCACCUCAAGAAUAAGACUCCACAAUAGACCCCUGGAGGACUACCAGGUAGAUAGGUCAUCGGUGGAAGCGCUGUAAGGCGUGU